Molecule: ribosomal RNA, 269 nt
Filed under: uncultured prokaryote
Description: partial 16S ribosomal RNA
Rfam family: Bacterial small subunit ribosomal RNA
Source: RNAcentral
UACGUAGGGUGCGAGCGUUGUCCGGAAUUAUUGGGCGUAAAGAGCUUGUAGGCGGUUUGUCGUGUCUGCUGUGAAAAUCCGGGGCUCAACCCCGGACUUGCAGUGGGUACGGGCAGACUAGAGUGUGGUAGGGGAGACUGGAAUUCCUGGUGUAGCGGUGAAAUGCGCAGAUAUCAGGAGGAACACCGAUGGCGAAGGCAGGUCUCUGGGCCACUACUGACGCUGAGGAGCGAAAGCAUGGGGAGCGAACAGGAUUAGAUACCCCCGUA